Molecule: ribosomal RNA, 1237 nt
Filed under: uncultured Actinomycetes bacterium
Lineage: Bacteria; Bacillati; Actinomycetota; Actinomycetes
Description: bacterial SSU rRNA
Rfam family: Bacterial small subunit ribosomal RNA
Source: RNAcentral
UCGCGGCCUAUCAGCUUGUUGGUGAGGUAAUGGCUCACCAUGGCGACGACGGGUAGCCGGCCUGAGAGGGUGACCGGCCACACUGGGACUGAGACACGGCCCAGACUCCUACGGGAGGCAGCAGUGGGGAAUAUUGCACAAUGGGCGCAAGCCUGAUGCAGCAACGCCGCGUGAGGGAUGACGGCCUUCGGGUUGUAAACCUCUUUUGUCAGGGAAGAAGCCUUCGGGUGACGGUACCUGGAGAAAAAGCACCGGCUAACUACGUGCCAGCAGCCGCGGUAAUACGUAGGGUGCAAGCGUUGUCCGGAAUUAUUGGGCGUAAAGAGCUCGUAGGCGGCUUGUCGCGUCUGCUGUGAAAACCCGAGGCUCAACCUCGGGCCUGCAGUGGGUACGGGCAGGCUAGAGUGCGGUAGGGGAGAUUGGAAUUCCUGGUGUAGCGGUGGAAUGCGCAGAUAUCAGGAGGAACACCGAUGGCGAAGGCAGAUCUCUGGGCCGCUACUGACGCUGAGGAGCGAAAGCAUGGGGAGCGAACAGGAUUAGAUACCCUGGUAGUCCAUGCCGUAAACGUUGGGAACUAGAUGUAGGGCCUGUUCCACGGGUUCUGUGUCGUAGCUAACGCAUUAAGUUCCCCGCCUGGGGAGUACGGCCGCAAGGCUAAAACUCAAAGGAAUUGACGGGGGCCCGCACAAGCGGCGGAGCAUGCGGAUUAAUUCGAUGCAACGCGAAGAACCUUACCAAGGCUUGACAUAUACGAGAACACUGCAGAGAUGCAGGACUCUUUGGACACUCGUAUACAGGUGGUGCAUGGUUGUCGUCAGCUCGUGUCGUGAGAUGUUCGGUUAAGUCCCGGCAACGAGCGCAACCCUCGUCCUAUGUUGCCAGCACGUUAUGGUGGGAACUCAUGGGAUACUGCCGUGGUCAACACGGAGGAAGGUGGGGAUGACGUCAAAUCAUCAUGCCCCUUAUGUCUUGGGCUUCACGCAUGCUACAAUGGCCGAUACAAAGGGCUGCGAUACCGCGAGGUGGAGCGAAUCCCAAAAAGUCGGUCUCAGUUCGGAUUGGGGUCUGCAACUCGACCCCAUGAAGUCGGAGUCGCUAGUAAUCGCAGAUCAGCAACGCUGCGGUGAAUACGUUCCCGGGCCUUGUACACACCGCCCGUCAAGUCAUGAAAGUCGGUAACACCCGAAGCCGGUGGCCUAACCCCUUGUGGGAGGGAGCUGUCGAAGGUGGGGCUGGA